This 253-nucleotide ribosomal RNA is filed under the name uncultured bacterium. RNAcentral describes it as "partial 16S ribosomal RNA". It matches the Rfam family "Bacterial small subunit ribosomal RNA", at positions 524 to 776 of the family's 1533-position model. The record is from RNAcentral.
UACGUAGGGUGCGAGCGUUAAUCGGAAUUACUGGGCGUAAAGCGUGCGCAGGCUGCUUCGCAAGUCAGGCGUGAAAUCCCCGGGCUUAACCUGGGAAUGGCGUCUGAAACUACGGAGCUAGAGUGUGGCAGAGGGAGGUAGAAUUCCACGUGUAGCGGUGAAAUGCGUAGAUAUGUGGAGGAAUACCGAUGGCGAAGGCAGCCUCCUGGGCCAACACUGACGCUCAUGCACGAAAGCGUGGGGAGCAAACAGG